Peromyscus eremicus (cactus mouse) is the source of this 767-nucleotide long non-coding RNA. RefSeq lists it as uncharacterized. Lineage: Eukaryota; Metazoa; Chordata; Mammalia; Rodentia; Cricetidae. The transcript has 2 exons. The record is from RefSeq and is a predicted model, not a curated record.
GGCGGGGGAGACUUGAAACCGCUCCGGCGCUCCGAUUGGUCCUCCCGCAGAAAGGGGGCGUGGCCCCUUCUUACUAUGCGGUGCAAGGACCCAACAACAUUCCAGCCGCCGCGGCCCCGCCCCCCGGGCCCCGCCCCGCCGGCUGGGCCGCCGCCUCCCGGUCCUCUCGGCCACACCCCCUUCCCAACUACUUAAAAGGCCGCUCCAGCGCUCCGCUUUCCCUGUUCGGUGCUGGGGUGUCGGCGUUUCCGGGCUCCGCUCGGGAAAGGCUCAGUGGUUCCGCCCUAGGAAACCUGGGCGAAUGGAGAAGCCAGCCAGCCAGACCUGGGUUCGAGUCAGUUACGGUUAGCAGAAUAGAUAUGUUCAUCUUACAGAAGAAGAAGCAUGGUCUGGAAAGGUUAAUUGAUUCGUCUGAGGUCUCCCCGCUUAUGAAGAAGCAGCCACAGUGGGGUGUGGUGACAUACACCAGUAGUCCCAGCCCUAGGGAAACUGAGGCAGGGGGGACAGGGGUGUCAUGAGUUCAAGUCCUUCCACACACCUUAUUUAGGAAGUGCUUGCCAAUUAAAAGGCCCCCAGAGACUGGGAAUUGUCCGGUUCAUUAUUGGCUCUCUUGUGUAUAACCCUGACAGAACAAGAGGUAUGUUUCCCUCACAUGUGUCCACGCCAAGUGUCAGUCAGUGUUCUUUUGUCCAGGGGUGCAGUGCCUCAGCCAGAAAUGCAUGUGAGAUGACUCGUCCUUGGCAUGUGAAUACAGUCUGAUGUUUUCU